AAUAUUGGACAAUGGGCGCAAGCCUGAUCCAGCAAUGCCGCGCGUGUGAAGAAGGCCUGCGGGUUGUAAAGCACUUUUAUUAGGAAAGAAAAACUCAAGAUUAAUACUCUUGACAUUGACGGUACCUAAAGAAUAAGCACCGGCUAACUCAGUGCCAGCAGCCGCGGUAAUACUGAGGGUGCGAGCGUUAAUCGGAAUUACUGGGCGUAAAGCGAGUGUAGGCGGCUAUAUAAGUCGGAUGUGAAAGCCCUGGGCUUAACCUGGGAAUUGCAUUCGAUACUGUAUAGCUAGAAUUUGAGAGAGGGAAGUGGAAUUCCGGGUGUAGCGGUGAAAUGCGUAGAUAUCCGGAGGAACACCAGUGGCGAAGGCGGCUUCCUGGCUCAAAAUUGACGCUGAGGCUCGAAAGCGUGGGGAGCAAACAGGAUUAGAUACCCUGGUAGUCCACGCCCUA
Molecule: ribosomal RNA, 451 nt
Filed under: uncultured marine bacterium
Lineage: Bacteria
Description: bacterial SSU rRNA
Rfam family: Bacterial small subunit ribosomal RNA
Source: RNAcentral